This 497-nucleotide ribosomal RNA is filed under the name uncultured bacterium. RNAcentral describes it as "partial 16S ribosomal RNA". It matches the Rfam family "Bacterial small subunit ribosomal RNA", at positions 28 to 507 of the family's 1533-position model. The record is from RNAcentral.
GAUGAACGCUGGCGGCGUGCCUAAUUCAUGCAAGUCGAGCGAACAGACGAGGAGCUUGCUCCUCUGACGUUAGCGGCGGACGGGUGAGUAACACGUGGAUAACCUACCUAUAAGACUGGGAUAACUUCGGGAAACCGGAGCUAAUACCGGAUAAUAUAUUGAACCGCAUGGUUCAAUAGUGAAAGACGGUUUUGCUGUCACUUAUAGAUGGAUCCGCGCCGCAUUAGCUAGUUGGUAAGGUAACGGCUUACCAAGGCGACGAUGCGUAGCCGACCUGAGAGGGUGAUCGGCCACACUGGAACUGAGACACGGUCCAGACUCCUACGGGAGGAAGCAGUAGGGAAUCUUCCGCAAUGGGCGAAAGCCUGACGGAGCAACGCCGCGUGAGUGAUGAAGGUCUUCGGAUCGUAAAACUCUGUUAUUAGGGAAGAACAAAUGUGUAAGUAACUAUGCACGUCUUGACGGUACCUAAUCAGAAAGCCACGGCUAACUACGUG